GUCGAACGCUGGCGGCGUGCUUAACACAUGCAAGUCGAACGGGCCUGUCUUCUUUUUUGGGGGUGGGUUGAGUGGCGAACGGGUGAGUAUCACGUGAGUAACCUGCCCUUCGGUCCUGGAUAACCGCUUGAAAGGGCGGCUAAUACGGGGUGGUCCGGUUGGUCCGCAUGGGCUGGUCGGGAUAGAUUCACUGUUUUUGGUGUUUCGGCGGGGGAUGGGCUCGCGGCCUAUCAGCUUGUUGGUGGGGUGAUGGCCUACCAAGGCGGUGACGGGUAGCCGGCCUGAGAGGGUGGGCGGCCACACUGGGACUGAGAUACGGCCCAGACUCCUGCGGGAGGCAGCAGUGGGGGGUAUUGCACAAUGGGCGGAAGCCUGAUGCAGCGACGUCGCGUGAGGGAUGGAGGCCUUCGGGUUGUGAACCUCUGUUUCCGGUGGUGAAGGCCCUGUCCGUGUGGUGGGGUUGACGGUAGCCGGGGAUGAAGCGCCGGCUAACUACGUG
Molecule: ribosomal RNA, 499 nt
Filed under: uncultured bacterium
Lineage: Bacteria
Description: partial 16S ribosomal RNA
Rfam family: Bacterial small subunit ribosomal RNA
Source: RNAcentral